This is a long non-coding RNA of Metopolophium dirhodum (rose-grain aphid), 608 nucleotides long. RefSeq lists it as uncharacterized. The record is from RefSeq and is a predicted model, not a curated record. The transcript is spliced from 3 exons. NCBI's taxonomy places the organism in Eukaryota, Metazoa, Arthropoda, Insecta, Hemiptera, Aphididae.
UAGGUAAUACAAUUUUGCUGAGCAAGAAUCCAAUUUUAAUAACACAGACGGCCUCGACAUUAUAAAUAAUUAAAUUGCAAAGAAGCACAUAACUAGUUUGGACUUUGGUAUCUUUUCUGAAGAGGAAUUGAAUAUAGUUGGACGCAUUUAACAGAGUUUACACACAUAUUUUGCCCGUGUCUUAUUCUAAACAAUUGAAUCAAAAGCCACCUCCAGCUGUCAUCACACAUAUCAUUUGUGAAGUCGUAACUAAUGUACAAGAUUUUUUGACAAACGCGUCACCUGUCAGAAUGGUCGGCAUGAGCAUGAGCUGUGAAAAGAUAUGUAUUGAAGAUAUUGCUGAUAGGCUGUUAAAAGUAUCGGGGUGUCCUACAACUGUUUACUGGUCGUCAAACCCGCUCCCACACAAGGAACUUACUUCUCAACGAGGAACAACAAACUUCUUUGAAAGAAAACCAAGCGAACACCAAUUACAUUCAGUUGCACUCUGAAUCGUAUUUGUGAAUAAAAUUAUUUGUCAAUGACUUAUUCGUCAUUAUAAGAAUACUUUAUUUUAAAAAUGUAAUGUAUUUCAAUUCUAAAUAAAUUAUACUAUCAUACUUUUCAUA